UACCUGCCGAGAACGCUGCGACGUCGAGUGAUUAGCUUAUUGCAUGGUUUGAUAUGUUUCCUCAAACCGCGUUAACUAACUUGACUUGCUCGUUGGUGAUUCAUGGAAAUUUGAGUGAUAUUACGAGGUGAAGUUGCGGAAUAUUUGGAGUGAGAAUUUGUAAAUUUUCUGUGUUUCAUCAUGUUACGUAUGCUCUUAGAUACAUUUCCAGAUACGUCACAAACUUUACCAAUAUAAUUUAAUGAAGAUGCAGAUUAUUUCAAAAUAUCUUCAAUAAUACAGAUAAUAUAUUCAUAAAAGAAAUUCGAAUACUUUUUUUUUCGCCUGUAACGUGUUAGAGAUCAUUUGACGAGACGAGAUUGAAUUGCAAGACACAAAUUUGGGAUAGCAAUAUCAUUGAAAUUAAUGAGGGAAUAAUAUGUGGUGACAGCUUAAGCGCCACACAAUAAAGGACUAUGGUGAAGCUACAGCAGCACGUGUCUGUGGAAAAAGAGCGAAAGAUAGCACGUGCACAUACGUUUUGCAAUUUUGAAUCGAUUUCUUCUGAAACGCGGCGGCCUUCGGCCGCGUGAAUUAAUUUAUGAAUAAAGGAAGCAAGAUGUCUGGAAGUGCGUAAAGCGUUACGACAUUCCCAGGGAUGAAUGCAACAUAUUUGCAACACGUGUUUGUAUCCCGCAUGUUUAAAUACCAUUCGGCGUUCGUUUUUAACGAAUAGAAAAUCAAACAAUCAUAUAAUCGAAAAGGCGAUACCAUAAUAAAAAUCUCUGUUGGAAGUAUGCAAAUGUGUCGACGUUACAUAAAAGUUAGAUUUAAAAGUUAAUGAAAAGUCGAGGAAUUAAAUAAAAGUUAAAAAUUCAAGAGAUUGACAAGUGACGGAUAUAAAAGAAAAAGAUCGAAAAAUUAAACGAAUUUCAAUUGAAUUGAACGAAUUGAACUCCGUACAUCGAAAAAUAGAGAAACGCGAGUGACGAUAUUGUAACAUUUUCCGUAAUCCAUCUUGGAACUUGCAGCUUCUUUUUCUUAAGAUAAAUAUACGUUUCUUCUUUUUUUUUUGAGAAGUUUAGCUCUAAAUAUUUAGCUAAGCAAGAACAAAAAAUCCAGCUUAGUAGAUCUGUUUUAAACAAGAAAGAAAUGAAAGAAGUAAAUAAGAAUUGAAGAAGUAAAUAAGAAUUGAGGAAAUAAAUAAGAAAUGAAGAAGUAAAUAAGAAUUGAAGAAGUAAAUAAGAAUUGAAGAAGUAAACAAAGAAAUCCGAGGAAUCGAGGAAAUUUUAAAGCUAAAUAUAAAUCAUUCUGUCCAUGUAGCUUUAAAUUUCUCUAUUUCCAAUGAAAAACACCUAACAUGAAUUUACGAACAAACCGAGACGAAUAAUCAAUGAAUUCACGUUCUAAGCUCCGUAACAAAAUUGCAGAGCUGGUGUCCUAGUUCUGGAAGUAGUAGCGAGUUUGAUCGAAAUUCAGGAAGCUGUGAAUUUUUUAGUGGAAGCUCGCCCAUAGCAAAUUCUUAUUCUUUUGUCUUGAAACUCGAUACGACGUAAAAGAUUCGGUUUUCCCAUCUCUACAACCGGAAUUUCGUUACAGGCGAACCAUCGAUCGUGGUUAGACACAACGAGCCGAAAAGAUUUUUGCGUGCUGUCACAUCUGGUUUUAUUCAUUGGAAAGCUGAUGACCUUGAAAGCAAUGAACGCCCAGGGAAAGUCCGUGGUUCCCAGCGAAUCGAAGAGCAACUCGCAGGCAAGCAGCGACGAAUAACCGAAGAAGGUCGGCCAAGUGAUUACCAGAAGCCACGAAGACGAGUUUGAAACCGGUUCAUGGAAGAACGAAUGAAGAUGGAAGAGUGGCGAAAACAUGAGACUAGAUAAGCCAUGUGUACGACCGAUGAAAGAAAUUCAGCAUGUUGCAUGCCACGGGGGUCAUCGGUCACCGACACUCAACUUGUUGGUGGCGCUAUGGAGGUCACCGGUAACCGGCGUGCCAAGAUUGGUAGAAAUACAUAAUUUGAACAAAUGUCAAUUGUUCAUUAUCACCAUCGUUACUACAAUGAUGUGACGAAAUUAAUACAGUAUAAAACAUAUGAAAAUAGUUUUAUUUAUACAUGAAAUAUAGAUAAUAAUAUAAUAUUUCAUCAUUACAUGUAUCGUAUAAUAAAAAAUUCAUUACGGUGCCACGGGUAAUCCCUGUAAAACUAGCAUUCAACGUGUUGAAAGCUUCCUUCAGUUCGAUCAAUUGUAUUCGCAUAAAGCUGACGCAAAGGCUCAUCGUUGUUGCGUUUGCCGAAUCAACAAGUUUAUAUUCAUACGCUUUCCAUGAUAAUAAUUUUUCGUUUUUUUCCUCGUCAACCACAGAAUUAAAGAUUUGUCCCGCUGUUAUUACACGUAAGUUAUACAAGGCAGUUUAUUUUAUUUUAAGCCUUCGUGUCUGGCCACGACAAAUUUAAAUAUAUUUAUAAAUUCAUAAUAAUUUACAUAAGUAUAAGUAGCUUUUAUUUGAAAGAAUUUUUAAUUGAUUUGCAAAGAAGAAGAUUUAAACCGAAAGAUAGUAUCAGUAGAGACCGUUUACGAUCAGAUCCGUUUUAUAUACAAGACGCCAAACUUUAAAACUCUCUACAAGGUCUUUAACAAGGUUAUCUCAUCCGCUUAAAAUUCUUAGCAAUUAGUUAAAAAUAUGAAACGUUUAGUAGGGGACCUGUUGCUCUUGUCGCUUUAGAAUUCGUAAAACUUUCGACCACAAAGUGCUUCGUUUGAAUAAAAAAUCUCGCUCGGUACAGCACUUUACAAUUCUACAAACCUCAUUUUCUCUACUUCAAACCUAUUUUACGCGUUUUUACGUUCUGUAUUCGACUUAUUUUCCAGGUACACAGUGUCCAAGCUUAAAAUUUCACACACACAAAAUUAUUUUAUACUGAAUCUCUUCUUUUGUUGUUAAAAACUAUGGAUAUUGAUAAAAAUAAAUUUCACGCGAAACUUUAAUUUUCGAAAUCAAAAAUCAUUUUAAUCGAUUAGUGAAAUUAUGAAAAUUGACCAGAGAUUCCAAAAUUAUUAAGAUUAAUCUUCUCUUAAAGAUCCUAAAAUUAUUAAAAAUCAGAGAUUUUUAAAUCAUUAAAAAUCGAAGAUUCUAAAGUUAUUUUAUUUAUUUAUUUAUUUACAUUUCAUAGUCCUGCCCUCCGCAAUAAAACGGACUUCCAGUUACAUUUCUCUUUGGGAUUCUAACGUUAUCAAAAAUGAUCAAAGGCCGCAAAAAGGUCUAAAAAAAUCUCUGUUUGCUAUUUCACUGUUGUAUGCAUUCUCUCCCUUCGUCCCUAAUCGAUGGACAUCGCUCUAAUUCUUUUCUUUCCCUUUACUUUCGAUCACACGAGAGAAGCGUCGAAAAAACGACGACCACGAGGGAUGAAAGGAUGGUUUCAGGGAUGGAGAUUCGUGAAAGCAGGCCGCGAGGGAAGAAGUGAAUCGAGAUUGGUCCGAUGUUUGUUCAGUACACAACCGUUUCGUAUGUAGAAAGCGUUCAUUCAGCGAUGGUUGCGCUUCUUUAUGCAUAUGUCCAAUAAAACAACCUCCAAAUAAUAUUCUGUUCUUCGAAUUUACUUUUUUAACGUUCCAUCCUUCCGGGCUAUAAUUUUCUUAAGACGCUUAAACCGAUCUCUUGAACUUUCGCCUCUUCAGUGAAAACAUGCAUUUUUUUAUCUCCACUUUAGACUCAAACGCCAACUUCUUGACGUAUUACAGGAUUUUACGAUUUUGUAGUACAUUCUUGUUGAAUUUUUUGCUGGAUGAAAAAACGCUUAUCCGAUACUUUUAGUAUUUGCCUCGAAGCUGUUUAAUGGUAUUAUCCUUUUAAUAAAAUUUAAUUAUAACGCGCUUUUACGAAAUGAUAGCGUACACAGUGACUGUUAAUAGUUUCUGGUCAGAGUGUAAUUCUAUUUUAACGUACCUUUUACUUUAACAAAAUCCUUCGUGUAAAAUGUUCCGCGAUAUUGUAUAAUAUUCUUGUAAAAAAGAAUAUAUUAAUGCUAAUCGGUAGAACUAUUAAAAAGAUCGUACAGUUUUUCGAGAAUGUUAAUAGACUUCUUGAUAAGAAGACAUCGCUUGUCCUAUCUUGGUAUGCGUUAAGGGUUGAUGGUAUAAUUUACUAUAUUUUGAAGAUCAAAGUUACGAUAUUCAUAACAAGUUUACCAAAGUACUUUUACCUAACGCCGCUUGAUUUUAUGUGAUUAUACUUGCAAAGUUCUGUAUCGCUUAUUAUACAGUUUUGUUUUUAUCAAAAGAAAAGAAAAAUACCUCUCACAGGGGUAGUUUGCAUAUUUUGGUGGAGACUCGUGAGUAUAAGUGUCGUUGUCGUUGAGGGCGAUGCACUCGGUUGAAGUAGGCUAAUGGGAACUUUCGAGUAGCCAUCUUCAUAACUUUUCGUAUCUCUUGCGAACAGCUUUACAAUCUGUAUAACAUUGCAGCUCCCGAUUUUCUAGAAGAAACACGAAAUACCUUCGAACCGUUUAAACACAGAGUGCAACUGGCAAACUUUCAUUACAAGAUCAAGUUUAAUUCCACUUGCCUUGAUGGACGCAGGCUAUUGUUAAUUAAAAUCCUCGCACCAAUUUGUAUAAAUAUAUGAAUAUAAUACGACAUCUUUCCAAUGAAUUAAAAAUAACACGAGAUUUUUAGCAAAUUUAAAAAAAUAAAAGAAUUAAGAUUAAAUUUAGACGUAGUCGAACCUUAUUUCGUUAUGUAAUUUCCGUGAGAAGUACAGGGAACAUAAUUGAACAUAAUGUGGCAGAUCCAUCAUGAUAGAUUUCGUGAUUUUAAUGUUACGUGUUCAAAAACGUUAUAUUAAAAAAGCAAUAGUGUUAGAAUAAUUAAUAUUUUUGAAAUUUAUAAGUGCAGUUAUACUUUCAUGCUGUUAAAACUGACUUUUCAUUUAGCGCUGGAAUUGUAUGAACGUUUUUAUCAUCUUGUUGAAUAACUGCGCUUACACGUCUCUUUUAUUACGGUCUUCAGUUGUGAUUUAUUAAUUUGUUUAUCAUUUACUGCUCAUUAAUUUGUAUAACUACAAUAUCGUACAUAUUCAAUAUGAAAUUCCACUACUGUAAUUUAUAGAUAUGUUUUACAUUACAUUAUUGGUGUUCCAUAUUGUAACAAUGUAACUGCAUAAUUUGUGCAAAUUAAUGAAAACAUUUGAGCAAAAUACAAUCCUUCAAAAUAUAUCUCAUAAUGUCUGAUACAUGGAUUAUAAUCAUCAAAUUAUCAACUUUACAACCUAAAGAAUAUACAGCAGCAGCCUUGAAGCUUCGUAAAAAUGUAAGUUGAAUUUUUCAAUUAACUUCAAUUUUUCAAUCAACCAUAAUUAAACAUUCUGCUCGUUUCAAACCUCGUUAUAUGUUAUUGAAACCCAAUACGAAAGAGUUUUCGUGUUAAUAAUUCGUAUUUCAUCGAAACGCGUAAAUGUGGAUCGCGAUUCUAAUCGAUACCUAUUCGAUCCUGAAUUAAUUAAAAAAAUUAGCAGAAGCUCGUUACGAGGAGUGCACGCUUUCAAGGGAACUUUUUGCACGGCCGGGAAUAGCGUCGCACCGCGGAGGCAGCCGAUUCUUUCAUCCCGGAAGCGCGCUGGAACUUGGAGAUUUUAUUACGAGCGUACAGUGAUCCUCUUUAAUUGCAUCCGUUGCGAGGCGACCCUCGAAAAGCAAUUUCGAGUGUACCGGAGGCUGGAUUUAUCGCGACCGGUAUUCACUGUAAACAGCCAACGGCGUUCCUCUUAAUUCUGCCCCUAGCUUCCGAUUCUCUGCCUUUGCUCUGUUGGCCGCGUUUUUUCUUUCGUUUUAGCGGCACCGUGAAACGAAGAAAACGUGCUUCUAUCGUCGAAUAGGUUUUACUAAUAGUCGAUGCUCCAUUCUUCCUUAUUUAUUUAUUUCUUUAUCUUUUUCAUGAUUUUUAUAGUCCGGGAUUAGGUAAGUACUGCGAUUAAUAAAAUACGUAACAAAGAGCAAAGCGUAGAAUGCAAUAAGGCAAGUUAGAAACUUAAACACCGGUAUCUAUACAUUUUAAUACGAUACAGCGUAUGUUAUAAUUAAGUAGGCAGCUUACGAUAUCAUAAUUGCUGAUACAGAUUAAAUUUCAACUGCAGAAAGAGAAAGGGAGACACUGAGAAGUCAUAAAUAUCUUUGAGAAGAUAAAGAAGAUUCUCGCAAUGAUCUUCAAUGCUUCUGAUUUGGACAUGUCUGUAUCUCAUUUGGCAGACCGAAUUUAGUUCUUAACUUAAUUUAGUCUCCAUGAAUUAACGUUGCUACGAUUAAGAAGAUUAUCAUCUAUAAUAGGAUAAAGUUAAAAGAGUGUGUUAGUUUAGUAUGUCGAAUUUUAAGUCUCGUGAGAAUAGCUUGCUUUCUCUUAUUGGAAAGAAAUGCUGGACUUUUAUCGACGUACGUACGGAUGUUAUGUAUGUUGGAUGGAGGUGAUUCUUUAUUUUUUCUACCUAUGGAAGGGACGUUUCUACUCUCUGGGGUUUUGUUUCUUAUUCUACGUUUCUAAUCGAAUGGAAACCGGGAGUAAAGAUCUAAAACACAUUUAGCGCAUGUCGAGAUAAAGAGGUUUUUAAGCUACGCUGUUCCACAAGUUUCGAGCACUUAAUGUGCUUCUUGUGUUUAACAUUAAAUCGCCUUUUGAUCGCAAUAUCUGCAACCCGUGCGUACUGAAAUAAUUUAGAAACACUGUAGAACCAUAUUUUACUUUUAACUCAAAUUUGACCAAAAUGUGUGACCAUUCAAUUUUUUACCAUGCAACUUUUUAUGCACUUAUGGGAGAAACGCGAAACAUAAGCAAAAACAUAUGAAUAAAUUCAAACUAUAAUACUCGUUAUAAUAUCUAUAAAAAAAAUUAUUAUCCAUUGAGGUUCUAUUUUUUUCAGCUAUAUUCGUAAAAAUGUGAAAUUGCAUAAAAAUCCGUAAUCUACCUUUGAUGAAAACUAAAUUGAAAAGGUAAGCCGAAUAUUCUACCUUUUAGAUUUGCAUUGACAACAUUUUUGCUUUGUGUGAUUUUGUGACAUUUAUAUUUCGGAAAUAUAAAAUGUGAAAUUAAUAUAAAACUUAUCACGUGAUAUUUAGACUUCUAUUAAUGAAACGAGAAUUUAUGACUUCUCAGUGUCUCCCUUUCUCUUUCUGCAGUUGAAAUUUAAUCUGCUGAAAUAGGAAACGUCACAUAAAACUGUAUAUCAUUCAGAAAGUAAAAGCCACGUCGAUUAAUAACGUCACCAUCAAGGUGUUAACUAAUCCGUGGCCAGGGUCAACGUAAUAAGGCACACCUGAGAUUGAUGACAGCCGUUGAUGUACCACUACUUUGUUAUUAUGUAUUUCUGUAAGAAUUCUAUUGUGUAUUCCAUUGUUUCUCGAUUAAACCAUUCAACAGAUUUAUCUUAAUUUAGUCUAUUAAUAAUUUCGACGUCUCUUUUUCUAUCUUGAUGAAAGAUACAUUGGCACAUUUACACGUCUUGAAGUGACGUUUCCGGUUCAUGCUGAAUUUUACAUAUAAAUCUUUUCUCUGUACUUUAGAGCUGACAUUUUUCAGCAUCUACAUUCCCAUACAAAAGUCUUCGUAAUAGAAAAGCCAUUUUUACUCGAAUAAAAUCUUAUAAAAUCUCAGCGUAGAGUUAACGUAUUUCGUCACAAAACGAUUAACAUAACUGUUUUAUUCUUGCGUAAUAAAACAAAAAGUAACUGCGAUAUAGAAAUAAAACUAGCCAAUUCUAUCGAGGUUAAUUAAUCGUUCCGUAUCUGCGAAAUGAACGCUGUCUAUGUAUUUUGAUACAUAAAAUUAAAAACUUUUCAAACAUCGAAAUUGAUCAGUUCAGCUUGUCAGAGUGACUCCUACAUGCUUUAUUUAAACAAAGAAUAUCAAUGUUUUCAAGACAUACGGAUUACUUGGAAAUGACUGUACAUUUGUCAUUUUUCCAGUGCCUGCUGGUAUUUCUAUUCUUUCUUCCAAGAGUAGAAGCUAUCGUAACGAUUUGUUAUAUUCGUUACAUUAGCAUGAUCGAUCGUGCGGAGCAAAUGAUCCACGUUUCGUGUGCAUACGCCCUCGUUACGCCGUGUUUUUCCCUGGUGAUCGAGUGGAUUUCAUCAUCGGUAAAAUGGACUAUAUCAGACGUUGCUGGCAUUAAUAUUCAAGGUAUUUAACGUUUAAAGACGCGGGCGUGUCGAGUAGUGCCUCUCGGUAACAGGCAAUUCGAUUGGCAAGCAACGAGGGAAAAAGCUGUUACACAAUAAAAUAAUAGCCAUUAUGACUAAUCGCGCGAGUGGAACUCGCGAGUAUCGCGACCCUGACUAAUUGUAAGCGAGUACGCGAAUUGCGGUUGAAUGGAACGUGCUGUCGCGUCCCGGAAACUCGAAAAAGUCAAAGGGAAACGCAAUUUCGCGAUAAUGAAUCUGGAAUGUAUUAAUGUACGUGGUGUCUCACUUUGAUCGUUCCACGCAAACAUAUAUCCUAAACUAUACGUAAUUCGAGAAAGAGCGUACAAUAAAAUUGUACGGUUUCAAUUGGCUCAUCUUACGACGUUCAACUAGAUUUGUCUAAAUGGAAGCGUUUACGAGAUUCUAAGAUAACCGUUGUUUCUUCAAAUUGAAUUAUACGUUUUAUCUUUUAUGACACCAUCCGAUGCACUUUUUAAUUCUCUACGGAAGAGUAUUAAGAUAGUUGCAUCUGAAAAUUCUUAGCUUAAAAGAUAUCUCAUUGUUAAUUUCAUUAAAAUUGAGCGUGUGGAGGACAAGAAACAUAUAAACGUAAGUGCGCUGUGUUAUCUUUCCUUGUCUUUCAUGCGAUAAGUUUUACAAGGUUGAAGCUGGAAUACCUUUUGAACUAAUCAUUUUUCCAUUGAAGUACUCUAAUACUGGUUUGUAGGGAAUUUAAAAAUCCAUCGAAUAGCGUAUAAAAAAAUGUAUGUAGAAAUCCAUUUGUAUAAACGAAGGUCAUCUUGAGAUCUCGAAGCUACGUAGUUUUCGAAGAAACACUUCUUUCGAAUAAUUUACGGUUUAAGAGACAUUUGCCUGGGUCAAUCAAGACGAGACACCUUGUAUAUACAGGCUGUUGCAAAAACAUGAUAGAUGCAAGGAUUUUGUUAAAGGGAAUAAGAAAUAAUUUCGAAACACAUUUAGCAUUGUAAUUAUUAAUAUAUUAAUUUAGUAUAACAUUGUAUUUAUUAUAUCAUACUAGUUAAUUAAGUCCAAAUGUAUUAAUUUUGGUAUUUGGUAGAAUUUCAUAUUAGGAAAAUGAAAUAUAGAAAAACUCAUUUAAUUUUAAGAAAUGGUUCUUUACUAUUCAUUUUCCUCGAUCAUUUUUCAGCAUGGGAAAACCAUGAUUAUUCAGAAGC
Long non-coding RNA from Bombus terrestris (buff-tailed bumblebee), 9339 nucleotides. RefSeq lists it as uncharacterized. The record is from RefSeq and is a predicted model, not a curated record. The transcript is spliced from 5 exons. NCBI's taxonomy places the organism in Eukaryota, Metazoa, Arthropoda, Insecta, Hymenoptera, Apidae.